Molecule: long non-coding RNA, 1587 nt
Organism: Xenopus laevis (African clawed frog)
Lineage: Eukaryota; Metazoa; Chordata; Amphibia; Anura; Pipidae
Exons: 9
Source: RefSeq, a predicted model, not a curated record
UCUAGCUGCAGCUAACGGUAUAUUACGUGGACCUUACAAAGAAAAACACCUCAAGUUGCAAGAUUUCUAGAGUAAAGCGAUAAUCAGUAAAAUGGCCGCUGAAGCCCUAGGGGUCCUUGUAAGCGAACGGCCGCAGCUUGCAGUAUACGUCAGUCAGACCACCACAAUAUACUAACAGCUAAUCUUUUUAUCACAGGGACAUUCCCAUAUUAGCCGCCAUAUGCCCCAUAUUCGCCACCCCAUGCUUCGUUCCGCACUCCCCGCUCAAAUGAAAUGGCGUUAUGCGCGCCCUCCAUCGUCUUUAUAGCCAUGUAAUGUGACGUCAUAGUCCCGCGACGGGAGACUUGUGACGCGUCGCGUGGACUAGAUGCCCUGCGCGCAUCAAAAAGCUACAAGUUAUUUGCGGGGAGGGGCUUUUAAUCCAGGGUUUAGAGCAGUGAUACGGAAAUCAGGAUGGUCCUGCGUGUAUCAGGACUGUUGGGCGCCAUAGAAGACCCGGCGCAACAGUUGAAACAGCUGGCACUGCCGCAGACUGACCCAAGUUUGUACAAUCGGAAAGAGGCUACAAGGAACCCAAGGAAGCUACAGAAAUUGACCAAGACCCAUUCUUUGCUAUUGGGUAUCCAAUUUUUCUGGCUGACCCACUUCGCUGAAAGUGAAUCUGGAGCAAGUGGAUACCAAUGAGGGCCAUAUCAUUAACUGUCUACUCAUUAUGGUGAUGAAGCUUUCAGAGGUCACAUUCAGACCGCUCUUCUUCAAGAUAAACCAUUUUUGACUCAAAAAACAACACUGAGAAGAGCUGCCCGUUACUGGACUCAUCCUCUGUCUGCACAAAAUCUUUCUGUAUGAUAACCAGCAUUUACUGAGCAAGGAGAGAACAGAAGCAUUAAUGAUGCCAUUGGUAGAUCAGCUUGAAAAUUUACUUGGAAGAGAUAAGAAAUUUCAUUCAAGAGUAAGCGAGAGCUUGAUACCAUGCAUAGCCCAAUUCUCAGUCGCGAUGGCAGAUGACUACCUGUGGAAGCCUCUCAACUCUCAGAUACUCUUGAAAAUGCGACAUUCUUCUCCCAAGAUUCACCGAAGUAGGACCAGUUGAACUUAUGAAGUGCCUUGCUCCAUUUGGCUUACUUUAUCCUUUUCACUGUAUCACAAAAUUAGGAAAAUAAAGUUACUUUUCUGGACAGAAGUUAACAAUAAAAAGAAAUGUAUUGAAAUAACACCUACGUUCUUCGGUGACAAGUUCUGUAUACAGCAACACACACGAGAAUUCCAACACAAAUCAGGCUAAGUGUAGCUGAGGCAUCCCUGGUGUCCGGUACUGGUAUUUCUAUGGAAAGGAAGACAACACAAUAGUAGAAAUGUAACAAACAUGUCAUCGACAGGGAAGGACUCCACGGGCGAUUCGGCCGCGAUCCAACGAGCUGCGAAAAAACGCCGGCGUCGCAUGCGACGGAAAUAAGCAAAAGGAGGUUGAAAGGGAGAAAAAGAUAAAAGAGCUUCAUUACCCGAUAUCAAAACCUAUGAAAUUUUUGCACUAGCUUGGUGUUCCGGUCAUUGUCCCUGCCCCAUGUAAGUUACUGUUUAUGCUUU